AUUGAACGCUGGCGGCAUGCUUUACACAUGCAAGUCGGACGAGUGGCGAACGGGUGAGUAACGCAUCGGAACGUACCGAGUAAUGGGGGAUAACUGUCCGAAAGGACAGCUAAUACCGCAUAUUCUUCGAACGGCCGAUGUCUGAUUAGCUGGUUGGCGGGGUAAAGGCGCACAAAGGCAACGAUCAGUAUCGGGUCUGAGAGGGUGAUCAGCAAGACUGGGACUGAGAAAAGGCAGAGACUCCUCCGGGAGGAAGAAGUGGGUAAUUUUGGACAAUGGGCGCAAGCCGGUUACAGCCAUGCCGGGUGUCUGAAGAAGGCCUUCGGGUGGGAAAGGACUUUUGUCAGGGAAGCGGUACCUGAAGAAGAAGCACCGGCUAACUACGUGCCAGCAGCCGCGGUAAUUC
RNAcentral lists this ribosomal RNA (406 nucleotides) under uncultured bacterium. RNAcentral's name for it is "partial 16S ribosomal RNA". It matches the Rfam family "Bacterial small subunit ribosomal RNA", at positions 30 to 526 of the family's 1533-position model. The record is from RNAcentral.